Molecule: long non-coding RNA, 4231 nt
Organism: Vespa mandarinia (Asian giant hornet)
Lineage: Eukaryota; Metazoa; Arthropoda; Insecta; Hymenoptera; Vespidae
Source: RefSeq, a predicted model, not a curated record
CCGGUACAUCGAGUGCAUCGGAUGCAUUGAAUGCGUCAUCGAUUGGCAGUGGAUGUCGGCGCGGUGCGUAGACGUCACGCAAUCGAGGCUGAGACGUCACCGGGAUUGCUUUACACCGUACGCGGCGAACGCGAUGCGACAUUCGCGCACAAGGCACUUCGCACGCGCUCGCUGAACUGGUGGGAUCAAAAUCGAGAGUCGCAGCGGAGUCACGCAAGCGCCAAUCCUGGAGGAACCUUCAGAUCAUUCGUCUCCGCAGUUUGCGCUUACGGAGAUGAAAAGAAGGUGACGAAGCGAGGUGACAAAGAGGUAAAAAAGAAGAACGAGUCGAGGGGGUUUCACCGCUUCUAUAUACGAAGAAUUGUUCGACGUACGCGCGUGCGCCGCAAAUAUAGACCCGACGUAUUUCUGCCAGUCGAAGCUCAGACUCAGCUUUGUGUAUGCCCAUAAUUCCCACACAUACAAACUAUAUAACAUGCGUUUAUUACAUACAUAUACAUGUACACAAACAUAUGCACCCGCGCGCAAGAGAGAGAACACGAUGAUUAUUGCUCAUUAAAUUAUCUUCCACGUGCUGUGUGCGCAUCAGAUCUUUUCUUUGCACAUACGCUACGUAUACAUACACAUAUAUACGCGUGCACGCUCUAAAGUCCGUGAACGUUCCUGCAUCUCUCUCUUUCUUAUUCCUAUGUUGAAACUUGGCAACUUCACGAUCUCAACUUGUAAAAAAACGGCGUACUCAUUACGAGCUUUUUUUUCUUGUUUUGAUUUUCUUUUUUAAUCUUUCUCGUGGGUUGCGUAGUUUAUCAAGGAUUAUUUCUAAAUAAUUCCAAUAAUCAAAUGUGUUAGCCAAAGUUUUGUGUGUGUGCGUGUAUAUACAUAUAAAACAUUGUAUAUUAUCAUUGUAAUGAACGAAGCUCUUUGAGUCCAAGAAAGCGCUUGGUAAUGUGUUAAUUCUCUGUACGCGUUGUCCAUCUUUUUUUUUGCCUCUAUCCGCUUCGUUCUGCCCAUCUGUUUCCCUCAAGCGUACCGCAGGCAACAGCAGACAAGUUCAGUCACUCUCCACAUAUAACUAUAUAACUAUAUAUAUAUAUGUAUGUACAUACGUAUGUAUGUAUGUAUGUAUGUAUGUAUGUAUGUAUGUAUGUAUGUAUGUAUGUAUGUAUGUAUGUAUGUAUGUAUGUAUGUAUGUAUGUAUGUAUGUAUGUAUGUAUGUAUGUAUGUAUGUAUGUAUGUACGUACGUACGUAUAUAUAUAUCUUUUGUACGUUGAAAGUCGACGGCAAUUCUCCAUGAGAGAGCACGUCAAUAACCCGUUGCGGCUUCGUCACGAUAGAUAUCAUGCAUUUAUGUAGCGUUUAUAUAGAUGUGUGCGAUACGUAUACACGUACAAGUCCUUUUCACAAUAUAUUCGGCGGACGUUCACCUGUAUCUCGCGAACAUCUUUUAAUAAAUUCUUUACAUCUUUGUAUCCGUUUAAAAACAAUAACUAUUAAUAAUAACUAACAAACAAAGAAAUAUAACAUCUGAAUGACAGAACAAAAAUUCUCCUCCAUAAUGUAAAAUAUUUCAUAUCUAACACAGAUCUCCAUUAAUUAUUACCAUUAAAUGAACUACAUGGUUUCUAACACGUGAUUAGAAAAUAAAAGUUUACCUGCAACAUUAUGUUGAUGAUGAUUAUACGUAAGAGGAACUGAAUGUAAUGCCCUGGCAGACCACUUCCGGUGUCUGGAAUCUUCGUCUUCAUCAUCGGCUUGCUGCCCAUCUUCUCCUAAGAAAUGAACCUUUUCGUACCUGUCUAGAUAUCUGAAAAACAUUGACCAAUUGACAUAUAAGUAUCAUGCUCAAUAGAUAACGAUCAUUGUUAUGCUAUGGGAAAUUACUUUAAUUUAAAUAUUCAUUGAUAAAAAAUUCUGAAUAAGGUUCUUUGACAAACUGAAUAACAGAUCGAUCGACAGAUGAAUGAGGCAGAUGUAAAGUAUCAGAGAUUCAAUUUGAGAGACAAAGAAGCAAGAUCACGAGAGAUGAAGUGAAGAGUGAAUUGAAGAGAGAGAAAGAGAAAGAAGAUGGGGGUGGAAGAGGGAGAGGAUACGAUAUCGUGGGGGGCAAAAGAAAAUGGUGGGGGAAAGAUGUAGUGAAUCCAUUCAUGCACUACGUAGUAGUAGACCACGGAAGGUGCAAGCGGUGGAGCCAGCCAACCAGAGCCUGAUUGGCGGUUAGUGGAUGCAGGCCGUGCAUGGACACUUUGAUUACUGUAGCGGCAUAGCAGUAUCCGUGCGAAUCUCAACAGCACUACAUGUUCUUUAAUUUGUUUCAUUGUAACUAGAGAAUAUGUUACAGUUUAAAUAUAUUAUAAUUUAAAUGUUUAUGGCAUCUUCUUGUUAAAAGAUCAUUAUGGUGAAAGGAACUAUGGUGAUUUAUACUUUGCAUAUGUAUAAUUACGUACGUGUGAUAAAACUUUAUGACUAUAAAUAGUUGAGAACUCUACACUCUUCGUAUAAUAUGAUUCUAUGUGAAAAUAUUGUUAUCUUAAUGAGAAAAAGAAAGUUACAAAAAAAAAAAGACUAAUUUAAAGAGACAUUCGUAUAUAAGAGAGAUUCGUAUAUAAAUAGAUUUGAAACAUCGUUAUCACGAAUACAAAUAGCGGUCACACUUCGAACAACGAAUCGGUGUAUCGCGAUAUCAGUCGGAGGAAGCACGACGUCCUCAACGUUCGACGAGCUAGCGAGACAACAAGGUUGCAGGGCUCGAUUGGAGAGAGAGGACAGCGACUGAGAAAGCACGUGGCGCGUCGGUGAGGCCGGCACUGAAUGAAUGAAUGAACGUAACGUACGAUACGAUACGGAAAAUGGUGGUGGGGCGGAGGACCAACGCCGAUACUCGGUGGUGGUAGCGCAGCAUUUUGCUACUACCUCUGCUCUUGCAGACGCUCGCGGGCUGUCAGAGGCGGUAGAACCGCUUUCCAUCCGAGGGCGCGCGGCGACCUAACAAGCUUGCACGCUCGCGCAAACUCUUUUUCUUUUCUACAACGUUUCGUAAUAUAUACGAAAGCAUCAUGUGUGUGUGUGUGUGUGUGUGAAAAUAUAUAUAUAUAUAUAUAUCCUUGGUCAAACCAAUUGGCUAAGCUCGAUUGAUCCAAUAUCUACUUUUAUUAAGAGAUUCGGAAUUUCCAGACUUUUUCGUCGAAUUCACUCUCCAAGAGAUCUACCGAAGUCCACUUACCGAAGGUAUAUUUGUUUAAGACCGAUUCCACUGUUGACACAGCCGUUUGGCAGAUGAAAUUGUUCGCAUAGCGAGGCCCAUUCAUUUCUGGUAUUCACCUGCAAUGCAGAAAUUAAUAUGCGUUACGUAAACGAUUAUUUUUAAUUGCUAAAAAAAAAAGAAGUAUAUAUAUAUUUAUGAAGACAUUUGAUAAUCAAUUAUUUUUGUAAAAAAUCAAUUAUUUGUAAAUAUUAUUGAUAUUAUUGCAAUCCUUUUACAGGACUUUUAAUCAAUAAUACAAUAUGGCGUAAACUUUUCCAAAUAUGUAAUAUUUCUAAAAAAAAAUGUUAGAAUAGAUUUAUUUUUAAGUUGCGCUCAUUAUGGACAAUUUUUCACUUAAAUAUUCUUCACACUGACAAGACUAUCCAUUGAUUCCGCUGAAUAAAGAAUUCUGAAUAUUGCGAGUUUGAUCGUUAUAAUAAUUGCUUGUCAUAGAAUGAGUACAUAUAUAAAUAAUGAAAGCAAGUUCGAAGUAAUGAGAAUCGAACGACUUUGAAGAAUUCAACAAGCUAUAACGCAAGAUCAAAAAAAGGAAAAGACAACUUUUCAUCAGACUAUAAAUAUAUCAUUUGACUAACAAUUCGUUAAUUACUUCGUAAAAAAUCAUUCUGCUAUUGAGAAAUGAUUAUGUUAGAAAGAUUAAUGAGAGAAGGGAAAACUUCAGUAGGUAAUAACCCAAGUAAUUAUUCAAAGUAUUCGUGGCACUGUAAAAGCUAUCAGUUGAAAGGAUUUAAAACUUUCUGUAGCUUGGAAUUACAAUGGCUUUAUAACGUUGACAACAAGUCGAGAAAAACAAAGCUUUGAUGUAUAACCAAAGCAAAUAAAAAGUGUCGAGGAUGGUUAGAGGGGGCAGGGAAUAUGUAAAUCCAAACAAAGAGAACAAAGAGAAAUUCAAUAGGAUAGAAAUUUGUUUAGAAACGCUAUAAAAGAAAUCGCUCUGUUGUGUAACAUAAAGAAGAAGUAAAAGAAAA